This 230-nucleotide ribosomal RNA is filed under the name uncultured bacterium. Its description in RNAcentral is "partial 16S ribosomal RNA". It matches the Rfam family "Bacterial small subunit ribosomal RNA", at positions 562 to 791 of the family's 1533-position model. The record is from RNAcentral.
AAAGCGUGCGCAGGCGGUUAUACAAGACAGAUGUGAAAUCCCCGGGCUCAACCUGGGAAUUGCAUUUGUGACUGUAUGGCUAGAGUGUGUCAGAGGGGGGUAGAAUUCCACGUGUAGCAGUGAAAUGCGUAGAUAUGUGGAGGAAUACCGAUGGCGAAGGCAGCCCCCUGGGAUAACACUGACGCUCAUGCACGAAAGCGUGGGGAGCAAACAGGAUUAGAUACCCCAGU